GGUAAGAAACUUAACCAACGCAUCCUGCCAAGGUUUAAGCUAUAAAAAGCUAAUUUUGAGGGAUUGUGAGGAAAGUCCGCCCACUACUGCCAAUAAGGCAAGUCUGAAAGAGGGCUACUUGAAAAAGUUUCAGUAAUGAAAGGAAACCAUAGAGAAACGGCACGGCCUAUAAGAUUGGAAUGAUACAGUGAGGGUUCUGGCGACAGGACUUAGAUAACCUGCUGACGUCCUUAUAGGAAACGAUGAAACGAUGGACCUGGUCGGUGCAAGUCUAAAAGACGCUUAGUAGAAUGUUAAGGCAAAGCAUCGCAUCAAUCUUUAUGAUUGUUGUUUGGUUUUGACAAAAGGCGGCUUAUUUCUUACC
RNAcentral lists this RNase P RNA (364 nucleotides) under Candidatus Woesearchaeota archaeon. RNAcentral's name for it is "RNase P RNA component". It matches the Rfam family "Archaeal RNase P". From Rfam's summary of the family: Ribonuclease P (RNase P) is a ubiquitous endoribonuclease, found in archaea, bacteria and eukarya as well as chloroplasts and mitochondria. Its best characterised activity is the generation of mature 5'-ends of tRNAs by cleaving the 5'-leader elements of precursor-tRNAs. Lineage: Archaea; Nanobdellati; Candidatus Woesearchaeota. The record is from RNAcentral.